GAUGAACGCUGGCGGCGUGCCUAAUACAUGCAAGUCGAGCGAACAGACGAGGAGCUUGCUCCUCUGACGUUAGCGGCGGACGGGUGAGUAACACGUGGAUAACCUACCUAUAAGACUGGGAUAAUUUCGGGAAACCGGAGCUAAUACCGGAUAAUAUAUUGAACCGCAUGGUUCAUUAGUGAAAGACGGUUUUGCUGUCACUUAUAGAUGGAUCCGCGCCGCAUUAGCUAGUUGGUAAGGUAACGGCUUACCAAGGCAACGAUGCGUAGCCGACCUGAGAGGGUGAUCGGCCACACUGGAACUGGAACAGGGUCCAGGCUCCUGCGGGAGGGAGCAGUAGGGAAUCUUCCGCAGUGGGCGAAAGCCUGACGGAGCGACGCCGCGUGAGUGAUGAAGGUCUUCGGAUCGUAAAACUCUGUUAUUAGGGAAGAACAAAUGUGUAAGUAACUGUGCACGUCUUGACGGUACCUAAUCAGAAAGCCACGGCUAACUACGUG
RNAcentral lists this ribosomal RNA (497 nucleotides) under uncultured bacterium. RNAcentral's name for it is "partial 16S ribosomal RNA". It matches the Rfam family "Bacterial small subunit ribosomal RNA", at positions 28 to 507 of the family's 1533-position model. The record is from RNAcentral.